RNAcentral lists this long non-coding RNA (1457 nucleotides) under Citrus sinensis (sweet orange). RNAcentral describes it as "long non-coding RNA (CSIN_LNC000770)". Lineage: Eukaryota; Viridiplantae; Streptophyta; Magnoliopsida; Sapindales; Rutaceae. The record is from RNAcentral.
GAUAAUGUGGAACUACUAACCAAUAAUUUUUUUACAUGCGUUCAAUUAAUUUUUAAUAAUUAAAAGUCAAACAAUUUCCUCCCUUUCUCACUCUUUACACUAGUUUCAAAAAUUCUUCUUCCCUCUUCCAAAUUCCAAGAAAAUUUAAUUUAUUAGAAAUUAUAAAAAUAAUAAAUUGAAUAAAGUGCCUACAAAGAGCCUGAUUUCAUCCUCUUUCUUCCCCUUGACAACUCCAUUUCCCCUGCAAAAAAAUGCAACAAAUUUUCUUCCCAUUUACAACUCCAUUCCCCUGCAAAAAAAAUGCAACAAAUUUUCUAAUUAAGCAAGUGACAUGAUUUUCUAGGGAAAUGGAUUUGUGAAUGGGAAGCAAAAGGAGCAUCAAAACAAGAUUAUUUUUAAAUUUGCAAAGUUAAUUAAGGUUGGGUGUUAUCAUACUUCAAACAUUUGCAGAAGCAGCUAAGUACCAUUCACUAAUUUUUUCUUUUGCCCACCACCUGUUUGUUUAAUGUAUUGUGAAACCAGUUAAGAUAUUGAUACUAGAUAUAUAUAUAUAUAUAUAUUUGUAAUUGUAUGAUUCAUUGUUUCUUGAUGGACAAACAUGUGUCAGGAUUAUAUAGAUUACUUGUAGAUUCCGAAAUUAUUGCAAGUAAAAUAUGUAUGUUUCCUUUGGUAAACAUGCCCUCAUGAAUGGAAUUCUGUUUUGAAUUUUCAAUAAAAUUGUAGGGAAACCACUUGAAAGAGAAUCAUUUAUAAUCAAUUUCAGUAAAAAAAAAAACCAAAUGUUCAAUAAUUUAAAAGGCCAUAAAAUAGUUUUUCACUGUUGCUCAAUAUUGUUCCGCAUGUAUCAAAAUAUCUUCUUCUUUUUUUCAUUAAAUAACAAAAUGACAACACUAGUGCUAAAAAUAAACUAUAAAUUGAAAACUCACAAGUUUAUGAGUUAAAUAGAAUUUAAACAACAAUAUUUUUUGAAUAAAUUUGAGAAGCUAAAAAAAAAAAAAGUAUCUAACAAUAAACAGUACACUAUUCUCAAGUGAACUAAGAUUCUUGUACCAAUAGCAAGGAUUAUUUGCAGGGAAGUUGAGAAGUCUUUCAAAUCGGAUGUUGUGACAUUUCUAAUUAAGCUAGUGGCAAUGUUUUGCAGAAGAAUGGAGAUGCGAAUGGGAAUCAGGAGGAGCAUCAAAGCAAGAUUACCAAAGGCAUGUUUUUGCAGGGCAAUGAAGUUGUAAAUGGAAAGGAGGAGGAGGAUGAAAUUAGGCCCUCUGUAGGCACUUUGUUCAAUUUAUUAUUUUUAUAAUUUCUAAAUAAAUUAAUGUUUCUUGAAAUUUGAAAGAGGGAAGAAGAAUUUUUGAAACUAGAGCAAAGACAAAGAAAAGGAGGGAAUUGUUUGACUUUUUAAAGUUUGAAAAUUGAUUGACACAUGUAAACAAAUUAUUAGUCAACGGCUCCACAUUAUCGGA